UGGUGGCUAAGGUGUGCGCCAUCUUUCUAAGUCAUAAGUUUAAUUUCUUAUUUCACUACUUCCUGCUUCCUCUCUUUAUGGUAUUUUUUAUGUUUUUCUAGAUCAAUAUGGCCAUGAAAAUAAGGCAUAUGGGUGGUAGUGUGCUUGAACAUGUUGGCAGGACAACAACACACAUCAUCACCGAUCACUUAUUCAGGGAUGCAUUUGAAUAUGGGGUUACUUUCAACCUCCCUGUUAUGACGACCGAUUGGGUUUUCCAAUGUUGGUCUAAAAGAACGAAAUAGGAUUUAAAGCCGAUGAUCUCAGUGUGGUUGACUACACAGUAAAAAUUUUUAGCAAUUGUUAUGUCUGUUUUAUUGGUUUUACAAAUGAUGAUGUCCAUCUUAGAAGACUAUCCGAGAAUGGUGGAACACUUGUUGCUUUAAGUGAUAUAAGAUGCACUCAUAUUGUUGUGAAUGAUUGUGAAAAGAAUAUAACUCAUGGUUUCCUUGAAAUUGAUCUUGCUGCUGACAUUGACCCUCCAAUAUUCAUGGUAACAUCAGCCUGGUUUUGGACGUCCAUAAUAGAAGGCACUGUCGCUAGAGAAAGGGAAUAUCUUUUUAAUGUGAGUUCAAACGUCCUAUUAUUUUUGUUUUUGUUUCACUUAAUUGAACUAUUUUUCAAAAGCACAUUUUUAACAUUUCUUGCUUUAAAAAGGUGAUUUUAUCGCUCAAAUAUUGGCCUGGCUUUGGGCGGCUGUCUACGGCCAAACAAAUGGAAAAAAUUUGUGUUUUUAAGAAUGAAGAUUAUUGACGGAAACUUUAUCAACUUGCAAAACUGAUUAGUUUGUCAUGGAGAAAUCUCCAAAUCGCAACGGUUGACAAUCUUGGUAUGAAACACGUCGCUGCUUAAUUGGUCCCCCUCUUGCUAACUAUUUGAUGCUCUAGCUGCUGGUGGUUGCCUAAGUGAUGUUUGAACAAUAAACCAUAGCAUAAAUAAGCGGUAACCAUUUGUG
Molecule: long non-coding RNA, 994 nt
Filed under: Bemisia tabaci
Lineage: Eukaryota; Metazoa; Arthropoda; Insecta; Hemiptera; Aleyrodidae
Description: lncRNA ENSSSA3NGG007211
Source: RNAcentral